Diachasmimorpha longicaudata is the source of this 1172-nucleotide long non-coding RNA. RefSeq lists it as uncharacterized. Lineage: Eukaryota; Metazoa; Arthropoda; Insecta; Hymenoptera; Braconidae. The record is from RefSeq and is a predicted model, not a curated record. The transcript has 3 exons.
CCCCGCACUUGUCUCCCUCAUUCCACGGUAUGCCAACUACUUGAGGCUCCAGCGCCAGCGGUUAUUUCACCCCUACCGCUGGAGGGUGACAAAGAUGGAAUCUGAAUUUAUACUUAUUUCAGAUGGAAAAGUUCAGCCCCCUGGUAGCCUGAAAAACACGUAAUCCAGUUUUGUCUUGUGAUUGAGGCUUUCUCAUCCCCUCUCACUCUUCUUCGCAAUUUCUUGGAGCGAUGAAUCACAUAGCGUAGAUGUUCGUCACGACGCAGCCUUGCUGACCUCCUUUUUCAUCAUUCUUUUUCUCAGGUCGUACCAAUGAAUUGAGUGGAUGCACAAAUUUUUGCAAUUGAAUGCGGUUGACAAAUGCUCCCUGAAUAACUGAACACCGAAUUUAAAAUGGAAAAUGUAUUUUCCCUGUCAUAACUGUCACGUACAUUUGUCCAACAUGGGGUCUAACACCGUGUGGUAGUGUCACCAGCAUUUCUGAUACACGAGCAUAUCGCCAGGGUCGACGGAGAUAACACAUCCUCGAAGGUUAGCGAAACAAAGUAACCUGUUUUUCGGUCUUGUGGGACAGUUAGCUCGGUAGUAUACUUGUGCGAAUGAUACAUGUUACCCCGGGGAAAUCUUAUGGUGGCACGAUUGGAUGAACGCCAUAGGUGAUACUGUACAUCUUCAAGAAAAUUGCAACAUCGAAUUCACCAGCAGUUGGCGAAAAAAAAAUGGAUUAAAAACUUUCGAGAGUCGAGUUGUGAUAAAUGAUGCACUCAAUGGUCGUUGUGUCACUGGGUAAUUUGUCAACGAAGUUUUCAUGAAUGACCUUCUUGGGAGCCCAACGGAACGAUAUUCCACCGGCCAAAUGAAGAUUAUCUUCCUAUCUUUGACUGGCGAAUUUAAACUUCAAAAGACAGAACGACAGAUUUUAAUUGCCGAAAGCUCAAAGCCAAGUUAGCAAAUCAAUGGGGACUUCAUUACAGAGCCUUUCAAUUCCCCAUUCACUAUUCUUUUUAACAUUAAGAGCACUCCUUUGACAUGCCGCAUUCAGUGGGCCUAAAAAUCCGAGCCACCGUGGGGAGUUAACCAACCAAAGCUCCUGCAAGUAAUGUAGAGGGUGAAAAAUUUUCCGGGAGAACGAGGUCUUCAUCAGGAUAACCGAUCUCUGACGUUUUUUUCCC